UAGCAAUACUAGGUUGAGCCAGUGGCGAACGGGUGCGUAACACGUGAGUCAUCUGCCUGAAAGUGGGGGAUAGCUCGCCGAAAGGCGAAUUAAUACCGCAUGUGCCCCGAAGCAAUUCGGGGUAAAGCCGGGGCAACCUGGCGCUUUUAGAUGAGCUCGCGGCCUAUCAGCUUGUUGGUAAGGUAACGGCUUACCAAGGCUUCGACGGGUAGCUGGUCUGAGAGGACGACCAGCCACACUGGAACUGAGACACGGUCCAGACACCUACGGGUGGCAGCAGUCGAGAAUUUUUCUCAAUGGGGGAAACCCUGAAGGAGCGACGCCGCGUGGAGGAUGAAGGCUUUCGGGUUGUAAACUCCUGUCAUUUGGGAACAAUACCUUACGUUAACUGCGUGGAGGUUUGAUAGUACCAGAAGAGGAAGAGACGGCUAACUCUGUGCCAGCAGCCGCGGUAAUACAGAGGUCUCGAGCGUUGUUCGGAUUCAUUGGGCGUAAAGGGCGCGUAGGCUGCGGGGCAAGUCGGGUGUGAAAUCUCAGAGCUCAACUCUGAAACUGCACUCGAUACUGCUUUGCUAGAGGACUGGAGAGGAGAUUGGAAUUCACGGUGUAGCA
RNAcentral lists this ribosomal RNA (612 nucleotides) under uncultured Verrucomicrobiota bacterium. RNAcentral describes it as "bacterial SSU rRNA". It matches the Rfam family "Bacterial small subunit ribosomal RNA", at positions 77 to 680 of the family's 1533-position model. Lineage: Bacteria; Pseudomonadati; Verrucomicrobiota. The record is from RNAcentral.